RNAcentral lists this ribosomal RNA (257 nucleotides) under uncultured bacterium. Its description in RNAcentral is "partial small subunit ribosomal RNA". It matches the Rfam family "Bacterial small subunit ribosomal RNA", at positions 26 to 285 of the family's 1533-position model. The record is from RNAcentral.
AGGACGAACGCUGGCGGCGUGCUUAACACAUGCAAGUCGAGCGGUAAGGCACCUUCGGGUGUACACGAGCGGCGAACGGGUGAGUAACACGUGAGUAAUCUGCCCUUCACUUGGGGAUAAGCCUCGGAAACGAGGUCUAAUACCCGAUACGACCAGUCCUCGCAUGAGGUGCUGGUGGAAAGUCUUGUCGGUGGAGGAUGUGCUCGCGGCCUAUCAGCUUGUUGGUGGGUAAUGGCCUACCAAGGCUUCGACGGGUA